This 482-nucleotide ribosomal RNA is filed under the name uncultured bacterium. RNAcentral describes it as "partial 16S ribosomal RNA". It matches the Rfam family "Bacterial small subunit ribosomal RNA", at positions 30 to 507 of the family's 1533-position model. The record is from RNAcentral.
AUUGAACGCUGGCGGCAUGCUUUACACAUGCAAGUCGAACGGUAACAGGCCGCAAGGUGCUGACGAGUGGCGCACGGGUGAGUAAUGCAUCGGAACGUGCCCAGUCGUGGGGGAUAACUACUCGAAAGAGUAGCUAAUACCGCAUACGAUCUAUGGAUGAAAGCGGGGGACCGUAAGGCCUCGCGCGAUUGGAGCGGCCGAUGUCAGAUUAGGUAGUUGGUGGGGUAAAGGCUCACCAAGCCAACGAUCUGUAGCUGGUCUGAGAGGACAACCAGCCACACUGGGACUGAGACACGGCCCAGACUCCUACGGGAGGCAGCAGUGGGGAAUUUUGGACAAUGGGCGCAAGCCUGAUCCAGCAAUGCCGCGUGCAGGAAGAAGGCCUUCGGGUUGUAAACUGCUUUUGUACGGAACGAAACGGCUCUGGUUAAUACCCGGGGCUAAUGACGGUACCGUAAGAAUAAGCACCGGCUAACUACGUG